UUAGAGUUUGAUUCCUGGCUCAGAUUGAACGCUGGCGGCAGGCCUAACACAUGCAAGUCGAGCGGCAGCACGGGUACUUGUACCUGGUGGCGAGCGGCGGACGGGUGAGUAAUGCCUAGGAAUCUGCCUGGUAGUGGGGGAUAACGCUCGGAAACGGACGCUAAUACCGCAUACGUCCUACGGGAGAAAGCAGGGGACCUUCGGGCCUUGCGCUAUCAGAUGAGCCUAGGUCGGAUUAGCUAGUUGGUGAGGUAAUGGCUCACCAAGGCGACGAUCCGUAACUGGUCUGAGAGGAUGAUCAGUCACACUGGAACUGAGACACGGUCCAGACUCCUACGGGAGGCAGCAGUGGGGAAUAUUGGACAAUGGGCGAAAGCCUGAUCCAGCCAUGCCGCGUGUGUGAAGAA
Molecule: ribosomal RNA, 407 nt
Filed under: Pseudomonas sp. CL3.65
Lineage: Bacteria; Pseudomonadati; Pseudomonadota; Gammaproteobacteria; Pseudomonadales; Pseudomonadaceae
Description: bacterial SSU rRNA
Rfam family: Bacterial small subunit ribosomal RNA
Source: RNAcentral